Molecule: ribosomal RNA, 467 nt
Filed under: uncultured bacterium
Lineage: Bacteria
Description: bacterial SSU rRNA
Rfam family: Bacterial small subunit ribosomal RNA
Source: RNAcentral
AGUUUGAUCCUGGCUCAGAACGAACGCUGGCGGCAUGCCUAACACAUGCAAGUCGAACGAUGCUUUCGGGCAUAGUGGCGCACGGGUGCGUAACGCGUGGGAAUCUGCCCUUUGGUCUGGGAUAACUGUUGGAAACGACAGCUAAUACCGGAUGAUGACGUAAGUCCAAAGAUUUAUCGCCGAGGGAUGAGCCCGCGUAGGAUUAGCUGGUUGGUGUGGUAAAGGCGCACCAAGGCGACGAUCCUUAGCUGGUCUGAGAGGAUGAUCAGCCACACUGGGACUGAGACACGGCCCAGACUCCUACGGGAGGCAGCAGUGGGGAAUAUUGGACAAUGGGCGCAAGCCUGAUCCAGCAAUGCCGCGUGAGUGAUGAAGGCCUUAGGGUUGUAAAGCUCUUUUACCCGGGAUGAUAAUGACAGUACCGGGAGAAUAAGCUCCGGCUAACUCCGUGCCAGCAGCCGCGGUAA